GUGCUUGCUUUGGCAGCAUAUAUACUAAAAUUGGAAUGAUACAGAGAAGAUUAGCUUGGCCCCUGUGCAAGAUAACACGCAAAUUUGUGGAGUGUCCUAUAUUAAA
Molecule: small nuclear RNA, 106 nt
Organism: Hippopotamus amphibius kiboko
Lineage: Eukaryota; Metazoa; Chordata; Mammalia; Artiodactyla; Hippopotamidae
Source: RefSeq, a predicted model, not a curated record